UUACCACCUUGACAUGAAAGAGAUUCCUUCGGGCACAGGUGCUGCAUGGCUGUCGUCAGCUCGUGUUGUGAAAUGUUGGGUUAAGUCCCGCAACGAGCGCGACCCUAUCUUUGUUGCCAGCGCGCGGGACUCAAAGAGACUGCCAGUGAUAACUGGAGGAAGGUGGGGAUGACGUCAAGUCAUCAUGGCCCUUACGGUGGGCUACACACGUGCUACAAUGGUAUACAAGAGGCAUCGCGAGACAAGCGACCUCAAAAUAGUCGUAGUCCGGAUUGGAGUCUGCAACUCGACUCCAUGAAGUCGGAAUCGCUAGUAAUCGUAAUCAGAUGUACGGUGAAUACGUUCCCGGGCCUUGUACACACCGCCCGUCACACCAUGGGAGUGGGUGAAAGAA
This 394-nucleotide ribosomal RNA is filed under the name uncultured bacterium. RNAcentral describes it as "bacterial SSU rRNA". It matches the Rfam family "Bacterial small subunit ribosomal RNA", at positions 971 to 1422 of the family's 1533-position model. The record is from RNAcentral.